UACGAAGGGUGCAAACGUUGCUCGGAAUUAUUGGGCGUAAAGCGCACGUAGGCGGCUUUGCAAGUCGGAUGUGAAAUCCCUCGGCUUAACCAAGGAAGUGCAUCCGAAACUGCAGAGCUUGAGUACUUAAGAGGAUCGCGGAAUUCCCGGUGUAGAGGUGAAAUUCGUAGAUAUCGGGGAGGAACACCAGUGGCGAAGGCGGCGACCUGGGCCAAUACUGAACGCGUGAGGUGG
Molecule: ribosomal RNA, 234 nt
Filed under: uncultured bacterium
Lineage: Bacteria
Description: partial 16S ribosomal RNA
Rfam family: Bacterial small subunit ribosomal RNA
Source: RNAcentral